This 420-nucleotide long non-coding RNA is filed under the name Parus major (Great Tit). Its description in RNAcentral is "lncRNA (ENSPMJG00000008339.1)". Lineage: Eukaryota; Metazoa; Chordata; Aves; Passeriformes; Paridae. The record is from RNAcentral.
AUGUGUUGGGGUUUUUUGCUCAAGGAAAACCUAAUUUUCAAACUGAUAAAUUUACCUAAUUUAUUUUGUUUACAGCUUAAUAGUACUUUUCAUCUAAACACUUCCCUAUCCAGACGUUUUAUUUCUGAGAUUGCUCAGAGUUGCGCAGCAGUGGACCCAGUGCUGCUGAGGCUGAUGGCUACAUCACCUCCUGAAGUCAGUUUAAAUGCAGACAGAUGUGUCCUACAGAUCACCAGCUGUGUAGAAGUGUUUGCUGUUCUGCCAAAUUCAACCACCCAGUACAUCAUUGCAGGGAAUCUAACAGCCAGUACCAGAGCCAAUUUGAGUAUAAGCAAACAGAAGUUGAUUAUCUCAUUACUUCUGAAGAGGUUCCAGUUCUCCCUGCUGCACCCCAGUCUUUGCUUCCCUGAUGUAAGUUGA